CGUGACCUACGGGGGGCAGCAGUAGGGAAUCUUCCACAAUGGGCGAAAGCCUGAUGGAGCAACGCCGCGUGGGUGAAGAAGGUCUUCGGAUCGUAAAACCCUGUUGUUAGAGAAGAAAGUGCGUGAGAGUAACUGUUCACGUUUCGACGGUAUCUAACCGGAAAGCCACGGCUAACUACGUGCCAGCAGCCGCGGUAAUACGUAGGUGACAAGCGUUAUCCGGAUUUAUUGGGCGUAAAGAGAACGCAGGCG
This 252-nucleotide ribosomal RNA is filed under the name uncultured bacterium. RNAcentral's name for it is "partial 16S ribosomal RNA". It matches the Rfam family "Bacterial small subunit ribosomal RNA", at positions 331 to 577 of the family's 1533-position model. The record is from RNAcentral.